MicroRNA precursor from Cricetulus griseus (Chinese hamster), 92 nucleotides. Lineage: Eukaryota; Metazoa; Chordata; Mammalia; Rodentia; Cricetidae. The record is from Ensembl.
GUGGGUACUGGCCUCGGUGCUGGUGGAGCAGUGAGCACGCCAUACAUUAUAUGUGUGACACCUGCCACCCAGCCCAAGGCCCCUAGGCCCAC